This 406-nucleotide ribosomal RNA is filed under the name uncultured bacterium. Its description in RNAcentral is "partial 16S ribosomal RNA". It matches the Rfam family "Bacterial small subunit ribosomal RNA", at positions 30 to 526 of the family's 1533-position model. The record is from RNAcentral.
AUUGAACGCUGGCGGCAGGCCUAACACAUGCAAGUCGAACGAGUGGCGGACGGGUGAUUCCUGUCUGUCUACCUGCCCGAUGGAGGUGGAUAACUACUGGAAACGGUAGUUAAUACCGCAUACCAUCGGGCGUGCCCAGAUGGGAUUAGCUAGUAGGGGGGGUAACGGCUCACCUAGGUGACGAUCCCUAGCUGGUCUGAGAGGAUGACCAGCCACACUGGAACUGAGACACGGUCCAGACUCCUACGGGAGGCAGCAGUGGGGAAUAUUGCACAAUGGGCGCAAGCCUGAUGCAGCCAUGCCGCGUGUAUGAAGAAGGCCUUCGGGUUGUAAAGUACUUUCAGCGAGGAGGCGUUACUCGCAGAAGAAGCACCGGCUAACUCCGUGCCAGCAGCCGCGGUAAUAC